This 253-nucleotide ribosomal RNA is filed under the name uncultured bacterium. Its description in RNAcentral is "partial 16S ribosomal RNA". It matches the Rfam family "Bacterial small subunit ribosomal RNA", at positions 524 to 776 of the family's 1533-position model. The record is from RNAcentral.
GACAGAGGUGCCAAGCGUUAGGCGGAAUCACUGGGCUUAAAGCGUGUGUAGGCGGGUGCCUAAGUACCUUGUGAAAUCCCACGGCUCAACCGUGGAACUGCUGGGUAUACUGGGUGCCUUGGGUCAUCUAGGGGCUGCCGGAACAAAUGGUGGAGCGGUGAAAUGCGUAGAUAUCGGGAGGAACACCUGUGGCGAAAGCGGCUCACUGGACCACAACUGACGCUGAGGCGCGAAAGCUAGGGGAGCAAACAGG